AUCAAAGUAUUUUAGGAUAGAUUGAAAUGACUCCGUAAAUUGUAUGGACACCAUCACGAAUUGGUUGAUUCAUACGAUCUGUCUUUACUAACUAAUGACAUUUUUACUAUUUUCUUGGUUAUUGUUUACCUUUUACGCCAUCUGGUCUUUUAAGUACAUGUACCUAUUCCCGAAUAUGACUGCUUUGCUAAGCAUAAAUUUGCAUUGCUAUAAGCCGAGUCACGGUAUUUGUUAUCC
RNAcentral lists this long non-coding RNA (237 nucleotides) under Mytilus galloprovincialis (Mediterranean mussel). The record is from RNAcentral. Lineage: Eukaryota; Metazoa; Mollusca; Bivalvia; Mytilida; Mytilidae.